AACGAACGCUGGCGGCAUGCCUAACACAUGCAAGUCGAACGAGAUCUUCGGAUCUAGUGGCGCACGGGUGCGUAACGCGUGGGAAUCUGCCCUUUGCUUCGGAAUAACAGUUAGAAAUGACUGCUAAUACCGGAUGAUGUCUUCGGACCAAAGAUUUAUCGGCAAAGGAUGAGCCCGCGUAGGAUUAGGUAGUUGGUGGGGUAAAGGCCUACCAAGCCGACGAUCCUUAGCUGGUCUGAGAGGAUGAUCAGCACACUGGGACUGAGACACGGCCCAGACUCCUACGGGAGGCAGCAGUGGGGAAUAUUGGACAAUGGGCGAAAGCCUGAUCCAGCAAUGCCGCGUGAGUGAUGAAGGCC
Molecule: ribosomal RNA, 359 nt
Filed under: uncultured bacterium
Lineage: Bacteria
Description: bacterial SSU rRNA
Rfam family: Bacterial small subunit ribosomal RNA
Source: RNAcentral